CCUACGGGAGGCAGCAGUGGGGAAUAUUGCACAAUGGGGGAAACCCUGAUGCAGCGACGCCGCGUGGGUGACGAAGUAUUUCGGUAUGUAAAGCCCUAUCAGCAGGGAAGAAGAUGACAGUACCUGACCAAGAAGCCCCGUCUAACUACGUGCCAGCAGCCGCGGUAAUACGGAGGGGGCAAGCCUUAUCCGGAUUUACUGGGUGUAAAGGGAGCGUAGGUGGCAUGGCAAGCCAGAAGGGAAAACCCUGGGCUUAACCCCGCGGAUUGCUUUUGAAACUGUCAGGCUGGAGUGCAGGAGGGGCAGGCGGAAUUCGUGGUGUAGCGGUGAAAUGCGUAGAUAUCAGGAGGAACACCGGUGGCGAAGGCGGCCUGCUGGACUGUAACUGACACUGAGGCUCGAAAGCGUGGGGAGCAAACAGGAUUAGAUACCCGAGUAGUC
Molecule: ribosomal RNA, 441 nt
Filed under: uncultured bacterium
Lineage: Bacteria
Description: partial 16S ribosomal RNA
Rfam family: Bacterial small subunit ribosomal RNA
Source: RNAcentral